CUCUCUCUCUCUCUCUCUCUCUCUCUCUCUCUCUCUCCCGUGUUUGUGUGGGCGUGGUUCCCAAUCUCGGCCUGAUUGUCUGCGCCAGCUGGAACCACUUAUCUUCCCUUUAUAUGUUCUGUAACCAGUGUUUCUUGUUGUCAGAUCGUUGUUUCUUCCCUGAGGUUGUGUCGUGUGUCCGUGCUCUUCUCUCGCCGCCCUUGUGUGGAUUAUCUGCUGUGCUCCUUCCUACCCAUCCGGACACACUCCCCUGGAUUUCUCAGCACGCUAUCAUCGGAAGAUGCGCCCGAGUCCCUGGGUCGGAUUCCGUCUGAGUACAGUCUGUCUGUCCUGUUGCUGCUGUAAACUGUAUUCAUUAAACCAUCGUUGCUUGCAUCUUGCAUCCGCCUCUGUAUUGUCACACGUAUGCAUAUGAGAUGAAUAAUGUAGGGGUGGACAAUUUCCAGUUCUGUUUCCGUAAAGAAAAGUCGAGAGCAUGUUUCCAGAGCAUGUUUACAAGAACACACAGGUCGGGUGUGGUGUUGGGGCAUCCUCUGGAGAUGGAGGGUCAGUGACUUCAGGCAAAGGGUCUCUGAAAACGUAUUUCAACAAGCUGAACACAAUCUUGAAACAGAAGGUUUCCAAUAUCAAAUGCCCUCGAAAAUAGGCUAAAUUAAUCAGAGGAAAAGUUCUAGAUCACAAAACAUCGGAGGAAUUUCGCUGAAACUUGGAACUUCCAAGCGCCGUUUUUUGUGUGUCGUCGGAUGCGUUGGCGCAGCACCUGUUGUGGUUGAGUUGACUGAAAAAAUGCAUGUCUUGUAUGCGCUCCAAGAACACAGCGUAUGAGCAGGUGAGAUCGUGGGAGAGGAGCUUCGCUACAAACUGGUGCAGUUUUAAAAAUUCCUUGACACCAUGGUCAAGCUGUGACGAAGUCGACAACAGUGUGAAACGGUGAGGAAGAAGCGAUUUGAUGGACAACCUCAUCGUCAUUGGAGACAUGUGACAUGUCCUUGAGGCUGGCUAACAGAUAGAUGGAUGAUAUUUUUACUGACUGACUGAUUUAUUUAUAUGUGAAGGCUUUGUAAUAAAUUUUUAUAACACUAUCAAUUGACAAAAUAUACGCAUCUAUUAUCUUUUUUUUCAUUCAUUUAUAUAUUCAGUCAUUCAUUUAUUCAUCCAUUCAGGCUUUCAUGCAUUUAGUUGUUUAUAGGCAAUCUACAGUUAAAUUAAACACCAUAGUGGUCACUCAACCACUAUUCUGGUAAAUGAGGGAUGUGGGUCGAGAAAAGUAACCGCUGUCAGAGAGCUAUUGAUUCAAGUAAUGAACAUCCAAGAGAUCAACAUUAUAGUUUCAAAUACAUUUUCAAGCUAUACAGUGUUUGUUUAGAUGUGUAUUGUUUCAAACAAUGUAAUAAAAAGUACAUUUGGGAUUCUGUUGAGGUAAGACCAGUGAACUGAGCUCAUUGAGCAUUUAAAAGUUAUAUAUUCUCCAAGAGUUAAUAGGUAGCCUGUGU
Oncorhynchus masou masou (cherry salmon) is the source of this 1493-nucleotide long non-coding RNA. RefSeq lists it as uncharacterized. NCBI's taxonomy places the organism in Eukaryota, Metazoa, Chordata, Actinopteri, Salmoniformes, Salmonidae. The transcript has 3 exons. The record is from RefSeq and is a predicted model, not a curated record.